RNAcentral lists this ribosomal RNA (305 nucleotides) under uncultured bacterium. RNAcentral describes it as "bacterial SSU rRNA". It matches the Rfam family "Bacterial small subunit ribosomal RNA", at positions 337 to 638 of the family's 1533-position model. The record is from RNAcentral.
ACCUACGGGACGCAGCAGUGAGGAAUAUUGGUCAAUGGGCUUACGCCUGAACCAGCCAAGUCGCGUGAGGGAAGACUGCCCUAUGGGUUGUAAACCUCUUUUGUCAGGGAGCAACGCCGGCUACGUGUAGCCGGACUGAGAGUACCUGAAGAAAAAGCAUCGGCUAACUCCGUGCCAGCAGCCGCGGUAAUACGGAGGAUGCGAGCGUUAUCCGGAUUUAUUGGGUUUAAAGGGUGCGUAGGCGGUUUGAUAAGUUAGAGGUGAAAUACCGGAGCUCAACACCGUAACUGCCUCUAAUACUGUUG